This 253-nucleotide ribosomal RNA is filed under the name uncultured bacterium. RNAcentral's name for it is "partial 16S ribosomal RNA". It matches the Rfam family "Bacterial small subunit ribosomal RNA", at positions 524 to 776 of the family's 1533-position model. The record is from RNAcentral.
GACAGAGGUGCCGAGCGUUAGGCGGAAUCACUGGGCUUAAAGCGUGUGUAGGCGGGCGGGCAAGUACCUUGUGAAAUCCCACGGCUCAACCGUGGAACGGCUGGGUAUACUGCCUGUCUUGAGCCAACUAGGGGCGAGCGGACCAGACGGUGGAGCGGUGAAAUGCGUAGAUAUCGUCUGGAACGCCAAAGGUGAAAACAGCUCGCUGGGGUUGUGCUGACGCUGAGACACGAAAGCCAGGGGAGCGAACGGG